CCUUUAGGUCUGACAUAACUCGUACGAAAGACGGGCUAAUAUCAGAUAAAACAAUAACUUGGCAUCAAGUAAUUGUCAAAGCUUCGGCGCCCAAAGAUGAGUCUGCGGACCAUUAGGUAGUUGGUGGAUUAACAGCCCACCAAGCCAACGAUGGAUAGCUGGUCUGAGAGGAUGAUCAGCCACACUGGAACUGAGACACGGUCCAGACUCCUACGGGAGGCAGCAGUAAGGAAUAUUGCUCAAUGGGAGAAAUCCUGAAGCAGCAACGCCGCGUGAAGGAAGAAGGGUCUUCGACUUGUAAACUUCUGUAGAAGAGGAAAACACUCCGAUAUACUCGGAAUUGAUUGUACUCUUAAAGUAAGCCCCGGCUAACUACGUG
This 379-nucleotide ribosomal RNA is filed under the name uncultured bacterium. RNAcentral's name for it is "bacterial SSU rRNA". It matches the Rfam family "Bacterial small subunit ribosomal RNA", at positions 129 to 507 of the family's 1533-position model. The record is from RNAcentral.